Molecule: long non-coding RNA, 290 nt
Organism: Osmia bicornis bicornis
Lineage: Eukaryota; Metazoa; Arthropoda; Insecta; Hymenoptera; Megachilidae
Exons: 2
Source: RefSeq, a predicted model, not a curated record
AUGGGAAGAUUCCUUAGUACUCCGGCUCGAUGGUCCCCAAUUCAGCAACAGGUACCCCAGUAGGAUCCGUCCGCAAUCAGCUGCUUCAGGAAUGAUUUCAAUGAUGACGUGGAUGAGGUGCGUGUGAUUUCGGUGGAUGGCCUGCACGGCAGCCGAAAUCACCUGUCUCCGGUAUUUACCCUUCGCUCUUGGGGAAACCGUGCCAAAACCCAAGAGGGAGAAGUUGCACUUAACUUUGUCCACUUAUUUAAUAUGUAACAGUUCAAUAAAAUAGUUUGUAGAAUUUUUAA